Molecule: ribosomal RNA, 1090 nt
Filed under: Candidatus Dojkabacteria bacterium
Lineage: Bacteria
Description: bacterial SSU rRNA
Rfam family: Bacterial small subunit ribosomal RNA
Source: RNAcentral
UUUAUGAAGAGUUUGAUCCUGGCUCAGGAUGAACGUUUGCGGCGUGCCUAAGGUAUGCAAGUCGAACGAGAAUUGCGGAGCUUGCUCUGCAAUUCUAGUGGCAGACGGCUGAGUAACGCGUAGGAACUUACCCUCAAGUCAAGGAUACCUUUCCGAAAGGAAAGUUAAUCCUGGAUAUGAUCUUCGGAUCAAAGGCUUUGGUCGCUUGAGGAUAGGCCUGCGUCCUAUCAGGUUGUUGGUGAGGUAAUGGCUCACCAAGCCUAUGACGGGUAACUGGUCUGAGAGGAUGAUCAGUCAGAAUGGAACUGCGAUACGGUCCAUACUCCUACGGGAGGCAGCAAUUAGGAAUCUUGCACAAUGGACGAAAGUCUGAUGCAGCGACGCCGCGUGGAGGAAGAAGGCUCUCGGGUUGUAAACUCCUUUUAUGUGGGAACAAGUUCUGAGUGUACCACAUGAAUAAGGCCCCCCUAACUACGUGCCAGAAGGGUCGGUGAUGCGUAGGGGCCGAACGUUAUCCGGAAUUACUGGGCGUAAAGAGAUGCGUAGGCGACCUGAUAAGUCUUAUGUGAAAGCCCGAGGCUCAACUUCGGAAUUGCAUAAGAAACUAUUAGGAUUGAGUCAGACAGGGGAAAGCAGAAUUCCAGGUGUAGCGGUGAAAUGCGUUGAUAUCUGGAGGAAUACCAAUGGCGAAGGCAGCUUUCUGGGUCUAGACUGACGCUAAGGCUCGAAAGCGUGGGGAGCAAAACGGAUUAGAUACCCGUGUAGUCCACGCUGUAAACUAUCCCUACUAGAUGUAUGAUAUGGAUCUCCGAUUUGGCUUAGGUCAUUUUGGGUUCAUAUUGUGUGUCGCAGCUAACGCAGUAAGUAGGGCGCCUGGGGAGUACGAGCGCAAGCUUAAAACUCAAAGGAAUUGACGGGGACCCGCACAAGCAGUGGAGCGUUUGGUUUAAUUCGAUGCUAAACGAAGAACCUUACCAAGGCUUGAACUGUAGCUGUACCUUUCCCGAAAAGGAAAGGGUCUUCGAGAUCGCUACAGAGGUGCUGCAUGGCUGUCGUCAGCUCGUGUCGUGAGAUGUUGGGUUAAGUCCCG